This 1140-nucleotide ribosomal RNA is filed under the name Ottowia flava. RNAcentral's name for it is "bacterial SSU rRNA". It matches the Rfam family "Bacterial small subunit ribosomal RNA", at positions 327 to 1462 of the family's 1533-position model. The record is from RNAcentral. Lineage: Bacteria; Pseudomonadati; Pseudomonadota; Betaproteobacteria; Burkholderiales; Comamonadaceae.
CGGCCCAGAUUCCUACGGGAGGCAGCAGUGGGAAUUUUGGACAAUGGGCGAAAGCCUGAUCCAGCCAUUCCGCGUGCAGGAUGAAGGCCCUCGGGUUGUAAACUGCUUUUGUACAGAACGAAAAGGUCCUGGUUAAUACCUGGGGCUCAUGACGGUACUGUAAGAAUAAGCACCGGCUAACUACGUGCCAGCAGCCGCGGUAAUACGUAGGGUGCAAGCGUUAAUCGGAAUUACUGGGCGUAAAGCGUGCGCAGGCGGUUUUGUAAGACAGAGGUGAAAUCCCCGGGCUCAACCUGGGAACUGCCUUUGUGACUGCAAGGCUAGAGUGCGGCAGAGGGGGAUGGAAUUCCGCGUGUAGCAGUGAAAUGCGUAGAUAUGCGGAGGAACACCGAUGGCGAAGGCAAUCCCCUGGGCCUGCACUGACGCUCAUGCACGAAAGCGUGGGGAGCAAACAGGAUUAGAUACCCUGGUAGUCCACGCCCUAAACGAUGUCAACUGGUUGUUGGGUCUUCAUUGACUCAGUAACGAAGCUAACGCGUGAAGUUGACCGCCUGGGGAGUACGGCCGCAAGGUUAAAACUCAAAGGAAUUGACGGGGACCCGCACAAGCGGUGGAUGAUGUGGUUUAAUUCGAUGCAACGCGAAAAACCUUACCCACCUUUGACAUGUACGGAAGUUUCUAGAGAUAGAUUCGUGCUCGAAAGAGAGCCGUAACACAGGUGCUGCAUGGCUGUCGUCAGCUCGUGUCGUGAGAUGUUGGGUUAAGUCCCGCAACGAGCGCAACCCUUGUCAUUAGUUGCUACAUUCAGUUGGGCACUCUAAUGAGACUGCCGGUGACAAACCGGAGGAAGGUGGGGAUGACGUCAAGUCCUCAUGGCCCUUAUAGGUGGGGCUACACACGUCAUACAAUGGCUGGUACAGAGGGUUGCCAACCCGCGAGGGGGAGCUAAUCCCAUAAAGCCAGUCGUAGUCCGGAUCGCAGUCUGCAACUCGACUGCGUGAAGUCGGAAUCGCUAGUAAUCGCGGAUCAGAAUGUCGCGGUGAAUACGUUCCCGGGUCUUGUACACACCGCCCGUCACACCAUGGGAGCGGGUUCUGCCAGAAGUGGUUAGCCUAACCGUAAGGAGGGCGAUCACCACGG